AGUGGAUGGAUGGAUGGGUGGAUGGAUAGAAUUGUGGAUGGAUGGAUACAUUGGUGGAUAGAGGGAUGGAGGGAUGGAGGAUGAGCAAGUGGAUGGGAGGGACUAGAUUCAGGGUCAGAACAGCUUGUUUUUCCCAGACAAGAUAUUUCCAGGAAAAUCUCAAUAAGAAGCCCCCCCUCCAACACACACACACACACACACACACACCCCACAGGGCUGGGAGGCUUUGGAAGUGUGGUACUUCCUCCCCUGACAGUGUGUAGCAUGGUAGGUCCUUGCAAAGCCGAGUUGCAGGCUAAAGGCACCUGCGUCCCUGCCUGGCAGCCUCUCCCCACUGGAGCCUGGCCGAUGCUGAUUACAGGCAGUGGGUCACAGAAGGCCAAGGGGAGGCCACUCAGGGUGGGGGCAGCCACGGCACCCUCUGGCCCUUCCUUCCAUGGAGCACUGCCCCCUGGCACCCUUACAUUCCUGAGAGGAUCUUUCCUUCAGUCCAGGAAGGACCCUGAGGGCCUGAGGCUAAGAGGCUCCCUGUCCCAGUGUGGGGGAUGGGAAGGGGCAAGCUUGCCUUCUCCAGCCCUCCAGAGGGUGCAGUCCUGUGCUGCAGGGGUGGGGAGGCCAGUGUGGGCACAGUAAAGGCUCAAACUGCUUUGAGGAUGGACAUGACACUUUAUUCUGCUUCAGCCCCACCUGCGGACUCCACAGGCCUGGGUGCUGAGUUUGGAGGGAGCAGAGACCUGGGGAGGAAGGCAGGGGGCACAGAGGGAUCUUGACCAGGGGCAUCUUGACCAGGGGCGAGGGCAUCUAGGGGCAUCUCAGGGUUUCCUCCAUAACUGGAACGCAGGACCCUCCUCAGUGAAGAUCAGGUGCAAAGCAGGAAUACCCCACGCCGAAAGCUUCCCCUCGUUUUGGGGGCUGAGCUGCCAGGCCUCCCCACUCCACCAUUCUACACCGCCUGGCUGGAGCAGAGCCAGGCAUGGGGGCCAUCGUGACACUCCACACCGUCAGCUCCUGUUUCGGGGAUCUCCAGGCCUGGAUCUGUCCAACCUUCAGCCUUGAGGGUCCCGGAGGCUAGCCCAAGCAACAGGGUCACAGGGGGUCAGAGGUGAUUGUAUCCCAGCCUCAUCCCUGGAGCUGUGGUCACCACCGCCUAGCAGAGCUGGAACCUGUCCCUCAGCUGACCAGCAAGUCUCCUGGUGGCCAGAGGGUCUGAAAUUGCCUGGAGAGCCUCGGGGGAGCCCACCAGCUGCCUCCUCUCCUAGAUGGACAGGCUGAUGCUGGUGGAGCCUGGGUCUGAAGCCAGGACUGAGGCCAGAGGACGAACCUGUGGGCUCUUGGUGGACAUGGCCUCCCGUACCCCAAAGGGACACUGGGAUCCAAGGAACGAUUUAGAGAGGACACACUCUGGUCCAGCCUGGCCAAGUGCUCAGGACAUCAGCACAAAGACACAUUGGGACUUGUUUCAAAGAAGAGUCCAUUUCCUUUGUUGAAAAAAAAAAAAAGAACAGGGGCACCUGGGUGGCUCAGAGGUUGUCUGCCUUCGGCUCAGGGUAUGAUCCUGGGGUCCUGGGAUUGAGUC
Long non-coding RNA from Canis lupus familiaris (dog), 1576 nucleotides. RefSeq lists it as uncharacterized. Lineage: Eukaryota; Metazoa; Chordata; Mammalia; Carnivora; Canidae. The record is from RefSeq and is a predicted model, not a curated record. The transcript is spliced from 4 exons.